GCUUUGGCUCUCUCUCCACUUACUUACUCUCUUGAGUUUUUUUCUCUUCUUAAAAACCUCUUCUUCACUUAUCCUUCUCAUCAUUCUCUUCAUCAUCACCACAUUCAUCUCUCUCUCUCUCUCUCUCUCUCUCUCUUUCUCUUCCUUGAUCUUAGCCGGAUCUGUUGGGGGACGAACACAUGAGAGAUAGAUAAAAUAUAAGAAAUUUCUCGAAAAAACCUAAUAGAAAAAGGUCUGUUUCUUAAAGAAGAAGAAGAAGAGGAUUUAAAGAGGGAUUUUUCUUUUGAGGGGACUGUUGUCUGGCUCGAGGACUCUUAUUCUAAUACAAUCUCAUUUGAAUACAUUCAGAUCUGAUGAUUGAUUAGGG
RNAcentral lists this small RNA (367 nucleotides) under Arabidopsis thaliana (thale cress). RNAcentral's name for it is "ATSL187930". Lineage: Eukaryota; Viridiplantae; Streptophyta; Magnoliopsida; Brassicales; Brassicaceae. The record is from RNAcentral.